UUUUUUUCAUUUUAAAGUAUGAUGGUGUUGUUUUAAUGUAAAGAAGUACAGAGAAAAUGAGAAGUGUCCUACUGUCUGUCCACAUCAGCAUUCUGAAAUGGUGAGCAAGAGCUACAGCUGGGGACUUGAGAAAGGCCCUCCCUCCCUUCCACCCCAUCUCCCCAAGAAGCAACCGCCUUCCAGAAAGAAAGAAAGAAAAAAGGUUGCUACAUAACUGAUAUGUAUAUGUAUUCUCUUUCAUUUAUACAAAAGUGAUCACGUGAGCCUGUGGUAGGACAGACGAGGCAAGGCACCAAAGACAGCAGGACACAGGUUCAGAGGGCACAGCCUUUGCUGUCAUCAAUCAAUCCCCUGAACCCCGAGUUCAGGGAGUUUCAGGGUUUUAUACCCAGCGUGUAAGGGGAGGGGCUCCGAAGUUCACAGUCUGCAGAAGUUCACAUAAAGCAGCUUUUUCUUUCACUGUUGUGGGCAAGUUAACCCUUCAAGGACAACACCUGACUGAGAAGGGGAGAGCCUCUCCUCCCCUCUCCUUCCUCCCCCUGCCAGCUGUUACCAUGGAGCCCAUUUGUAACUUAUCUUAAAAAGGUAGACAUCUCUGUGAAGCCCUGCUCAAGGCCAGAGGCCUAGUUUACACAUUUCUACAAAGUACUCUACUGGAUACAUGUUUGUGAAAACUAGUGAGGGGUGUUCAGCACCUGGAGGGCUGGUAUCUUCUCGGCCAGUGGCCAAGUAAACAGGGCGACAGGAAAAUGGGAAGUUUAUCUACGAUGGACUCUUUUGCUGACAGUCCUAAAAUCAGCCAAGGUGAUGAUUUCUAAAGCAGCCCAGUUAGGACUUUUCUGUGGAGAAAGGGGGUGCCACUUCAAGCCAGGCACCAGGGGUGCACACCUGACAUCCCAGUGGCUCCAGGGGCUGAGGCAGGAGGAUCCCAAGUUCAAAGCCAGCCUCAACAACUGCAGUGGCGAGGCACUAAGCAACUCAGUGAGAUCCUGUCUCUAAAUAAAAUAAAUAAUAGGGCUGCGGAUGGGCUUAGUGGUUGAGUGUCCCGGAGUUCAAAUCCUGGUACCCUCCCCCACAAAAAAAAAACAAAAAAACCCACCAUCAAAAGCAAACCAUCACUUUUGGUGGUGGGGUUUUUUUUUUUGGUUUUUUUUUUCAUUUCUUGGAAAUGUUUCCUGCCGCUUCUGGACAAUAUUUUGCUCUUCUCAUAAAGCACCAUAGUUUGAACCUUGAUAUUUUUCACCUAAUAAAAUAUUUUAGAAAUCCCUUUCUACCGUUCUAUACCUAAACUCCUCUUUUUAAUGUCUCUGGACAGUUCCAUCUUCCUAUAGUGGUACCACAGUUUAUUUUAACUAGGCUCUCCCCCUUUUGUUGGUGCUGGGGACUGAGCCCAGGAGUGCUUUUCCACUGAGCUACAUCCCCAGCCCUUUUUGUUUUGAGACAGGGUCUCACACUAAGUUGCUGAGGCUGGCCUCAAUCUUGUGAUCCUCCUGCCUCAGCCUCCCGCAUCAUUGACAACACCAGUUUUUCAACAAUUCAUAUUUUUGGUGCCACUUUUAAAUCCUACCCAUGUUGAAAAUUGUGCUUGUAAGUUGAUAAUGCUGCUUCCACAGUCUAUAUUCUCCUUUUCUUCAGUCUGUAGUGACCUGUAAUAAUUAUCAGGUUCAUAAUAUGUUUUGAUAUUUAUUAAAGCCAAGCCUGGGGUCACUAUUUACUCUCUGUUUUUGAUUUGUUUAUUUGUUUAUUUCAGACUCCCCACUGUCAUGCUCACAUAUUGACCAUUGUAAAAACUGCUCUCCAUGGGAUAUGGUGACGCAUGCCUGUAACCCUGGUGGCUUGGGAGGCUGAGGCAGGAGGAUCACAAAUUCAAGGCCAGCUUCCACAAUUUAUCUAGGCCCUAAGCAAUUCAGUGAGACCCUGUCUCUAAAUAAGAUACAGAAAAGGGCUGGAGAUGUGGCUCAGUGGUUAUGCAUCUCUGUGUUUAAUCCCUGGUACCAAAACAUAAAUAAAUAAAAACAGCUCACC
RNAcentral lists this long non-coding RNA (2025 nucleotides) under Marmota monax (woodchuck). The record is from RNAcentral. Lineage: Eukaryota; Metazoa; Chordata; Mammalia; Rodentia; Sciuridae.